This 320-nucleotide long non-coding RNA is filed under the name Nicotiana benthamiana. Its description in RNAcentral is "long non-coding RNA (NBEN_LNC021147)". The record is from RNAcentral. Lineage: Eukaryota; Viridiplantae; Streptophyta; Magnoliopsida; Solanales; Solanaceae.
CAGCCUCUAGUCAAAAUAAUGAACUGGCAGCAUUCAAAAUCUGCUUGGAAAUUGGAAUCAAGUACCAACAUAUGUGUUGGGGAGCUCACACAAUCAACAGCAUUUUCUAAAUAAUUGUCUCGCAUGCUGAGUAUAAGCGUGCGAAUGAAUUCUUGGGAACUACCAGAAUUAUCAGCUGUUUAAUGCGCGUUGUUGCAUGCUAAGUAUAAGCGUGCAAACGAAUUCUUGGGAACUACCAGAAUUAUCAGCUGUUUAAUGCGCGGUAUUCAAGUAAUCAUGCACACCUCUCCAGUCUCAAGACUAAUGUCUAUUAAUCUCGG